This 599-nucleotide long non-coding RNA is filed under the name Mus caroli (Ryukyu mouse). Its description in RNAcentral is "lncRNA (MGP_CAROLIEiJ_G0002857.1)". The record is from RNAcentral. Lineage: Eukaryota; Metazoa; Chordata; Mammalia; Rodentia; Muridae.
GGGGAUGUGGGGCAAGAUGAAGACAGACCUGAGCUUCGGGGACAGGAGCAGUGGCCUAUCAUCUCUCCUUGGUGUCUCUGCUAUUGAAAACACUUGUCCUGAAGAUGGGGACCACCUGAAGAGAUGCCUAGGGAACAGACCCCCCUUAAAAUUUGACAAGGAUAUAUCCUGGGACCUAGGUCCAGCUGUAUUCGAGCUUGGAGAUUCAGACUCAGGCUCCCACGCUUGUGUGGCAAGUGCCAUAUCUGCUGAGCUCUUCUAUCUCUCUGAUUCUCUGGAGAUCUAAUGAAUCCAGCGCUGACCUGCACCCCGAAGUUGCUGGUCCAGCUGGCAGAGCUGUCGGAGGAAGCCACGAUUGGGGAAGAUCCAUCGGCGCUCCCUCACAGUGAUUAUGGCCUGCUGCAAGGACAGCUGCUGGUGGAGCAUGAGGUAAGCCAGGACCAGUGUGGCAGAUCGGCUCACGCCCACCACGCAGUGCACCAGCACCUUAGCUGAGGAAGACACUCAGAUGAAGGACUCCUCUCUACUAGCCAGCCCACCCAAGGUCCAUUCCCGAACCUGUGUUGGGUGGAUCAUGGGACCUGGGGCAAGUUCCUCAA